ACUGCCACUAAAAGCAUUGCAGGUGUGGCUGCUGUGCCCAGUGUGCAUCAGUAGGUAGCAGAGAGGCGAGAGGCUGUGCCUACACUCAGUGUUCUGAUCUAUGAACAUCUGAGUGAUUAGUAGUCUAACAUU
Apodemus sylvaticus (European woodmouse) is the source of this 132-nucleotide small nucleolar RNA. RefSeq annotates it as small nucleolar RNA SNORA17. The transcript has a single exon. NCBI's taxonomy places the organism in Eukaryota, Metazoa, Chordata, Mammalia, Rodentia, Muridae. The record is from RefSeq and is a predicted model, not a curated record.